GUGCUCUCUUUGGCAGCACAUAUACUAAAAUUGGAAUGAUACAGAGAUUAGCAUGGUCUUUGCUCAAGGUUGACAUGCAAAUUUGUGAAGUGUUCCAUAUUUGA
Jaculus jaculus (lesser Egyptian jerboa) is the source of this 104-nucleotide small nuclear RNA. Lineage: Eukaryota; Metazoa; Chordata; Mammalia; Rodentia; Dipodidae. The record is from RefSeq and is a predicted model, not a curated record.